Onychostoma macrolepis is the source of this 606-nucleotide long non-coding RNA. RefSeq lists it as uncharacterized. The record is from RefSeq and is a predicted model, not a curated record. The transcript has 3 exons. Lineage: Eukaryota; Metazoa; Chordata; Actinopteri; Cypriniformes; Cyprinidae.
CGGUAAUGCAACGGUCAAACACGACCGUAUAGCGUAUGUUUUUACAUAUAAAAACUUUCCAAACAACAUGAAACCUGUUCGAAAUGCUUUCCAAAUCAGCCGCUUGUGAGACUACAUGAUGGUUAAGAAGAAAGUCAGCUUUGUUGACCGCAAGAUUCCCGUUUCUGCCUGAAGGCGUCACCUAUAGUGAAGACCGAAUGUCUGGAGCAGGCCACGGGAGACAUAUGAUUCUCAUUGUGAGGAUGAAAGGCGUCUAUACGUCUGUUUUUCCCCGUCUUUUGUACGUCUGGGGAGCGCCGGAUUGGGUGGGCGGAACCGCUUGUGUCGUGAUCCCCUCUCAUCCAUGUGGUGUUGCUUUAUGCUCCGUGGGUAUGGAUUCAUUGUAGUGAAAUUGAAACUUCAUGACAUGUCAUUGUUAUAAACUUAUAAAUAAUUUAUUUCGCCCCGAAGAGUGAUUGCUGCUUCAGAGGUGCCCAAUUGGCUGAGACAAGGUUCGUCUUUGACCCAGUUUGACCAUGUUGAAACAUUUUCCCUUUAUAUCUCUCGUGCGUGCUUCCUUUUAACUCUAGCUGCUUGUCAGCACGUCGCUUGGCCCGUUUUUUAACU